Cercophora newfieldiana is the source of this 95-nucleotide non-coding RNA. Lineage: Eukaryota; Fungi; Ascomycota; Sordariomycetes; Sordariales; Lasiosphaeriaceae. The record is from the annotation of a GenBank genome assembly.
GGGCAGGUAGUGAAGUGGUAAAGCGUUCUCUAAGCGUAUUCGGCGUUGUUUCUCCAGCGUUUAGCAAGACCCGGGUUCAAAUCCCGGCCCGCCCA